This 441-nucleotide ribosomal RNA is filed under the name uncultured bacterium. Its description in RNAcentral is "partial 16S ribosomal RNA". It matches the Rfam family "Bacterial small subunit ribosomal RNA", at positions 337 to 795 of the family's 1533-position model. The record is from RNAcentral.
CCUUACGGGUGGCAGCAGUGGGGAAUAUUGCACAAUGGGGGAAACCCUGAUGCAGCGACGCCGCGUGAGUGAAGAAGUAAUUCGUUAUGUAAAGCUCUAUCAGCAGGGAAGAAAAUGACGGUACCUGAGUAAGAAGCCCCGGCUAACUACGUGCCAGCAGCCGCGGUAAUACGUAGGGGGCAAGCGUUAUCCGGAUUUACUGGGUGUAAAGGGAGCGCAGGCGGCACGGCAAGCCUGAUGUGAAAGCCCGCGGCCCAACCGCGGGACUGCAUUGGGAACUACCGGGCUGGAGUGCCGGAGAGGUAGGCGGAAUUCCUAGUGUAGCGGUGAAAUGCGUAGAUAUUAGGAGGAACACCAGUGGCGAAGGCGGCCUACUGGACGGUGACUGACGCUGAGGCUCGAAAGCGUGGGGAGCAAACAGGAUUAGAUACCCGGGUAGUC